RNAcentral lists this ribosomal RNA (31 nucleotides) under Bacillus subtilis J22. Lineage: Bacteria; Bacillati; Bacillota; Bacilli; Caryophanales; Bacillaceae. The record is from RNAcentral.
UUCCCCCUGUGAGAGUAGGACGCCGCCAAGC